AGAGAAUGAAAGACCGAGAGUGAGAAAGAAAGAGAGAGAAAGAAGCAGAGUGAAAGGAGAGAGAGAGGAGCCGCGGAACAGGUAGAUACGCACCGCGGAAUAUAUUGGAAUACCUGAGAAAUUUAGUGGCGGGGCACUAAAUUUCACCGCCGUGACUUUGCAGGAGGCGAUGCUCGCCGCAGGGCGGGAGCCACCGGGCGAAAAAUCGCCCCCCUGCCUCCCUCCCUCUUCUCACUGUCCCCCCCUGUUUCUCCCCGCCUUCUGCCUUCCGCCCCUGUGGCUACGUGCCCCGCCGGAGAUAUCGCCCCUUUAGCACCUGCGGCGACGCUGCUCUCGAUGAGCGAGAGCCGCAUAUUGUGCCCCCGUGAAAGCGAAGGAAAUAUUAAUUAUCUCGAUGCGAAGUAAACUCGAGUAUCGUUCAUCGUCUAAGCUCCGUUUCCAAUAUAUCUAAUUCGUUCUACGGUACCAUCCGUAGAUGAUUUGUAGAUUUCAUAGGACACUCUGUGUUUUAUUUAAAAAUGAUUAUGUGUAUACACAAUCACGAAACUAAUUGUCCAGAUACAGGACACGAAAGUUACAUAUUUAUCAAACGUUAUAACUUUUUUUUUUUAAAGGAAAACUCGAUUGAAAGUGAAAAUCCUUACCACUUAUGCAUUUCCGUCAAAGUAUGCUUUUGAUUUGCUGCAUGAAACAAACUCCCAAUAUCCUUCGUAUCCAACAAUUAGUUUGGUGAUUGUCUGUAGUUUAAUUUAAUUAAAUGCAUACAUUGCGACAAAAUCAAUUGAGAACAAGAUUAAAAUCUGAAAUUUUCAACAGCAUAGAACGACGCAGGGUACACUUGUGGAUGACGUUUCUGUUAGUUGAAAUAGUAUUGGGAUCUUGCACACAUCCCCACGCGAAUAUCAAACCGUUGUAAUUCCGUCGUUUGUAGUCGCUUCAGAAUCAGGAGGGAUUCGACAUUACCUCCCCCCCCUCCCCCGAUGCUGCAAUCGCGGCGCGUCUUUGCCACACAUGGUAACGUAUACGUCUUCGGCAUCUAUGGUGUGCCGUUAAUCGGAAAAGUAAUCAUAAUCAGGCGGGUUGUGCAUAGCUCGUUGCAUCGGCGGCGGCGCUGCGCUCAUCAGCGAAGCGCAGCGAACGAGUAGCAUGCGCAUUCCAUCGCGCGCCCGUAAUUUAGCUCUGGCGAAAAUAUCAUUUCUCUACUCUGCGCCCUUCACCACCUCCUCCUCCACCACCGCCUACCCGUGCUCGUCGUGCUUCCCUUGUCGUUCUUAGCCUCGUAACGAAAGAAAGAAACGGCACGAAUGAGAAAAAUGAGAAAUACCCCGUCAGUUCCUUCGUUCGUUCGUUCUGGCGAACGUUUCCACCCUUCCGCUCCGUUCCGCGCGCGCGAAAAAAAAAAAACGACGGGAAGGGAAAAAAAGCGAGGAAAGUAAUCAACGGGAGGCCGAACGACAGCCGCGUUUGCGACUCGGAAACGACGUCGGCACGGGGGCGAAUUUUCAUGAAAGCGCUUUCGCUCCGUGCGAAAUGAGAGCGCGGCGCAGAAACAGACGAAGAGGAAGGGGGGAAAGAGGGUGGACGCAGCCGGCCAGCAGCGAAGCUAUAUAGCGAAUGAAGGGCGGAUAGGGUUGGGUGGAUGGGUGGUAACGCGGGCGCGCUUGCACUCGAUUACGCAUUCGAUAGACGUUGAUUAUCGACAAAACACGUCGAUUCGACAACACCUGACGAUGACGAGCGCACGCGUGCACACGCUGCGCGUACGCGUAGGAGGAUGCGUGUUGGUGCACGGCGGAGGGAAUUUGCGACGGACAUGAAGUCACGCAGAAUCGCGGGGGAAGGGAUCCGAUAUACAGUACUAUGCAUAAGUUACCCCAGCGAGCUCGAUCAGCGAUGAGAGACAAGAAUAAACACAAGAAAGAAUACACAAUUGAAAAGUUUGUAUUAAACAUUGAAAUUUUUGUGUCAAUUUAACACGAGACAAAUAAAAAGUUAGAAACUAAAACAAACACUAUAAAAAAUUAGUUUAAAAAACGUAAAAAUUGACACAAUGUAGGAACAAAUUGUGGAAGAACGUUUUUUUAAAAAAAUUAACAUUUUUAAUAUGCCGACACGUACGUUUUAUACAGAAUUUAUUCCAGAUUUUAUGUUUGAAAACUACGUUAUUUUUAUGUUGUUUAUUUAUUAUAAAUUUAUUUUAAUAAACUUAAGAGAAUAUUAAUUUAACGCAAAAUAUUCAAACGACACAAUCACGUUAUUUCAAAUUAAUUCUCGGAUAAAAAUUCAAUAUAAAAACUUGAAAAAGAACUGGUUUUAAUAUAAAUAUAAAAUGUUUUCUGCUGUGAUAAUAGAGAAAUUUUCUAUCUAAAAUCGCGACUUUGAGACUUAAUGUAGAAAGCGACUAACGAGAUACGUGGUUAAUUAUCACGAAAAAAACGGAAGAUUAUUAUACUACUCUCAGAUACAUCAAACUUGUUUUUUGGUGAAACGUAAAAAAAAUGGGAAAUCCAAUAUUUCUUUAUCGCCCUAGCAGAAAUCAUGAUUCAAUUACGAAGCGUGGACAAGUUGCGUUAAUGCAUAAGGCAGACAUAAAAAAAUUAUGCGGCCGGACGUACGGGACUUUUUGAUGCGGUAGGGAUUGAACUGGUAGGCGCGUCACGAAAUAAAAGUUGGACGAAGGUAGAUAAAAGUCAAAGUAUUUCAGUAUCAUUACCGAAAAGGGCGGCGUCGGCAAGCCGGCCGGGAAUUUAUGAAGGCCGGCGUGUACGGGCGCGCGUGUACCUGUCCGCGCGUAAAACGAUGUAUUCACAACGUCGCCGCGUGUUGUAAUCCGUAUAGAAGAAGGCUUGGUUGGCCCGUUACGACGAGAUUAUCGUUCGACAGGAACUGUAACUUUCAAUGAAUCGUAAACGUAGUCGGCCGCGCGCGACCGAGUACCGGCGCACGAUUUUGUUCAGAGUGCGUCCGACACGAUGACGAAGGCGGCGGAAUCAAACGUUGAGUUACCGAUAGUAAUAAUCUCUUAUCAUUCUCGUUAUUUUGGGCCGAAUCGCUACCACGAGCGGCGGGAUAUCUUCGCCGCGAGUAUUGUGUUCGGAAGCAGGCAGAAUUGAGAAAUAUCGUGUGCAUAAACCAACAUCAGCUCUCUGCAUUUCUUCUUAUUUCCCGUAACUGUAUUUUUUAUGAUCUCUUAUUUUUUCUAAUUAGAUAUAUCUUAGAGCAGACUGCUGUCGCCUCGUGAUUUUUUUAUGUGUUCUGCCAAUAAAAACAACUUAAUAUCAUCACAUUUUCGACUAAAAAAAAAUUAAGCGACAUAUAAUUCUUCGUAUUUCAAAGUAGCUUUAUUAAAGUAGCUCUAUCAUAGCUCUCAUUUAAUAUCUGUCAAAAGUUAAUAUAUUUUCUCACCGAAAGAGUCAAUCGAGGGAGAAAAAGCUUCAUUAACGAACUCGUACACGUUAUUUAUGAUUUAUAUUUAAAAGGAAUCGUCGAACGGUUUUCUCUCGGCGAUUCUUCGAGAGCGUUGCCGCGACGGACGGAGUAGCCGAGAACGACGAUGUUAUUCAAAUACGGGAGAUUACGCGAUCUUCAAUCCAGGUGCGCGACGUGGUACCUACCUACCUACCUAUCUAUCUACUCGAUGCGCGCUCGCACGUGAAAGAGAGAGCGAGAGAGAGAGAGAGAGAGAGAGACGAUCGUAACGGAAUAUAAAAGCCGCGUGUAUUUGUUACUGUACGAUCCACGGGCGCCGAUCGCCGAUAAGACACGUCAAUACGGCGAUCAGGGAGACUGCUCGUGAGGGAGAGCCGGAGGUGGGCGUUCGUGCGUGGGCGUUCAUGCGUGCAGCCGCCAGUCAACGGAUGAAGUCGACACUGAGAGGGAUAAAACCGUGUGCGAGGGCAGAUACGCCACUUCAUUUCGCGUGUACACGGAAUUCACGCUAAACUUCGACCAAAGGUCGAAAAUACGGCGGGAUCGACGUUCAAGCUAAGGGACCGCCGUCGAUUCGUUUUUCGUAUAUAAUUCUUUCAGGGACCUCCUCGAUCUCGGAAUGGACAUUAAUCUCCCCGUCGACGGAAGCUUCGGGAAACCCUUUCUCCGACCUUGACACGGCGUCUAUAAAUAAAAUCUAUCGCCGUUAAUUAAUUCGCAAUACAAUCGCAUGGGAUGAUCGGUAGAGCCGCUCGGCCUUGAUCUGGCGGAUCGAGAGAAAGAAGAGAAGAAAGGAGGGAAGAGUAGAAAGAAAUCUCGCAUAUCUACAGUUUAACGAAUUCACUAUGUCGUUAAUGCUCUGGAAACAAUGAGACUAUCGGAAGAAAUUAAACUAUGCGUAUAAUGUAAAAGAUUAGAUGCGUACAUUUGUAAUAUUAAUAGCACAUAUGCCGCUUACGAUAAAAAAACAUGAGGGUUUCUUUACAAAAUGGAGCAUUGAUUCGUCUCAAAGUGAAACGAAGAGUCAUGGGAAACCGGCGUUGAUCUACUCGUGCACAUCUUGAGAUGAGUUAGUUACCGCCAGAUCCAUUACAAACUAGACUACUCAUUCUCCGUUAAUUAAUAGAACCAAAUUCGAUGGUAUCGACUUUUUCUAGAAUAAAUACCUAAAUUCCUUUAAAAAA
Molecule: long non-coding RNA, 4613 nt
Organism: Monomorium pharaonis (pharaoh ant)
Lineage: Eukaryota; Metazoa; Arthropoda; Insecta; Hymenoptera; Formicidae
Exons: 2
Source: RefSeq, a predicted model, not a curated record